GGGGUUGUGGCUCAGUGGUAGAGUGCUUGCCUUGCAUGUGUGAGGUGCUGGGUUCAAUUCUCAGCACUCCA
This 71-nucleotide transfer RNA is filed under the name Marmota marmota marmota (Alpine marmot). It matches the Rfam family "tRNA". Rfam says of the family: Transfer RNA (tRNA) molecules are approximately 80 nucleotides in length. Their secondary structure includes four short double-helical elements and three loops (D, anti-codon, and T loops). The record is from Rfam by way of RNAcentral. Lineage: Eukaryota; Metazoa; Chordata; Mammalia; Rodentia; Sciuridae. RNAcentral also lists the same sequence under 2 other names.